Long non-coding RNA from Anguilla rostrata (American eel), 337 nucleotides. RefSeq lists it as uncharacterized. Lineage: Eukaryota; Metazoa; Chordata; Actinopteri; Anguilliformes; Anguillidae. The transcript has 2 exons. The record is from RefSeq and is a predicted model, not a curated record.
CAUGUUGUGGAGGUGUUUUACUGGAAAAGGGACUGGUACACUUGAGAAAAUAGAUGGCAUCAUGGGGAAGGAAGAUUAUUUAGAAAUACUGAAGCAACACCUCAAGACAUCAGCUAGAAUGUUCAAACUUGGCCGCAAGUGGGUCUUCCAGCAGGACAAUGAUCUUAACCAUACCUCCAAAGUUGUAGCAAAAUGGCUUAAAGACGACAAAGUGAAAGUAUUGGAGUGGCUAUCAAAACCCUGACCUGAAUCCCAUAGAACUGAACUGAAAAAGUGUCAAGGAGGCCCACAAACUUGACUGAGUUACACCAGUUCUGUCAGGAGGAAUGGGCAAAAA